Molecule: transfer RNA, 82 nt
Filed under: Mycobacterium intracellulare subsp. chimaera
Lineage: Bacteria; Bacillati; Actinomycetota; Actinomycetes; Mycobacteriales; Mycobacteriaceae
Also listed under: 1 other name
Description: Mycobacterium chimaera tRNA-Val
Source: RNAcentral
CGGCGGCGGCAGGGGGUGUUCCGCCGGUGACGUCGGCGCCGAUGACGUCGUUGGCGGCGCCGAUCGAGUCGGCUCCGACGUC